Long non-coding RNA from Bufo bufo (common toad), 174 nucleotides. RefSeq lists it as uncharacterized. The record is from RefSeq and is a predicted model, not a curated record. Lineage: Eukaryota; Metazoa; Chordata; Amphibia; Anura; Bufonidae. The transcript is spliced from 2 exons.
GGCUAGCUAAACCUGAAGCAUGAACAGAGCAGCGAAAAGCAGACAAUCGCUUUAGGCCUUUCCUGAUUUUUGCUUCAAAAUCUCACAUUAAGACCUCAUGCAGUGUCUGAUGAAGGCCUGCUUCCCGAAAACUUUAACACACGUACUGCCUCUUGACUUUUAUGUACUCAGCAA